RNAcentral lists this long non-coding RNA (898 nucleotides) under Monodelphis domestica (gray short-tailed opossum). RNAcentral's name for it is "lncRNA (ENSMODG00000036351.2)". Lineage: Eukaryota; Metazoa; Chordata; Mammalia; Didelphimorphia; Didelphidae. The record is from RNAcentral.
UGCCAAAAGCAAGCAGAGGCAGAACAAAAGCAGGCUUAGACUUUGAUUGUGAGAGUGGAUUAUACAUUGCAACAAAAAAUUACCAUGAUGCCAGGUCAAGUCUGUUGAAAGUCUAGUUCUUGACUUGAAAGGGUCUUGAUCCUGAGACUUGGAAUGAGGAUGCCUGGGAAGAAACUGAGGGGCUAGGUCGGUCUGGGAUAUUUUGAUUCCUUUGAUCCCAUUUGCUCUUUUCCAGUUCAUCUACUGCUCUAUGAUACCACCCUGCCACCUGAAUUUGAAAACAGAUGAAGCUAAGCAGAAUCCAAACAAUGUAAAAAUGGGAUGAGAAAAAUCAUACCAUAAAUGAAGUCCUCAAGGCAAAAGAUGCUGCCUCGAAGACCUGCUGCUGGUCUAGUUUUGAACACCAUGCCAGUAUGACAGACCUUUCCUGCUGAUGUCUCAAGUUGUCUUAGACUGGAAAAUGAUGUCAUCCUAACUUUUUGCUGGUUCUGCAACUCCAGCAUUUGAGGCAUUAUUUCAUAUUGUUUGGAGGGGAAUUUGGGAGAAUUCUAAUGAGUUUCUUGCUCUAAUGAACCAUCUUUGUUCUGACCUCCUCAGACUGAAAACUUAAUAAUAGGUAUUAAUAUGAAAUGGAUGCAGAACAAGCAAAGGUCAGAAUUAGUUUAUUGAGGAUAAUUGGAAUGCUACAGCUUCUGAAGAAUUGAAGUUGAGGAUUUCCCAAAGAACAAUGACUCCUCAAAAUCCCAGUCUUCUAUAACUAGCUGCCUUUUGAAGAAUUCCAACUGGAUAUUCUAUAGACAGCUCAAACUCAAAAUGUCCCUAACAUGCAAUCUAAUAAACAUUUAUUACAUGCUUUCUUUGUAUCAGGCAUAUGCUUAGCUCUUAAUAAAAAGAUCAU